GGCUUGCAAAAUAUUUGGCUAUUUUCUGAGCUAACUAUAUUCAAAUGAAUAUUUUAACUAAAGUGAUGUGCUACCUACAAACUCAAGAAAUGUCCUAAUGCCAUGAAUGGACAAUACUCAAACAACAAAUAAUAGUGAUCAUAGUCAUGUUGCUACUAAAAAGAAAAUAUCAACAUAGCUGUGAUACAAGCAGGUGGAAGUGAUAAGACAUUACUGGAGUCUGUUGAUAUUUUGCAGAUAAAGCCAAUUUCACGAAUUGAUGUAGUUUCUAAGAGGAAGAGAAAUCAAGGAACACGCCAAGUGUUUUACUGAGCUAGGGAAGAUGGAGACGUUGGGAGCGGAGAAAGGAGGUGGAUUAAAUGUGUGGCAUCCAGCAAGCUGUAAAUACAGAACUGAUGAAUUUCCUUCCCUUCCCCUGAAAUCAUGACUUAGCUCUCAGCUGGUGGACUCCAAAGGCAUCAAGCAAUGCAAAGGGAACUCACCAAGUUUAUAAAAACUGGGAAGCCAUGCUGUGCUUUCCUUGAAACACUGUCUUAAAUCUAUUUUUAACUUUUUAAAAUUACUCUAUCAUGUGGCCAUUUACAACAGCAAAUACACGAUACUCCAACCAAACAAAAACUCAGCAGGAAUCAGAGUGCCUGGUUUUUCCUGGCUGGUUGACCCCCGCCUCACAUGUAGGAGCUGUCAGAUCACGCUGGCAGACCAUUUCAAAUGCGGGUGGACUUCCCAAAAUCCACCAAGCCAACCCAGGCCUGUGAGGACAGCACUUAUGGAAGUGGCAGGGCCAAGGUGCUGAGUACCAAUCAGGGCAUCUUGGGUUGCUACUGAAUUCUUUUAAUCUGCUACUUUGAAACAACGAGGCUAAGAAGCUACCUCUUGUCCAAAUUUGCCACCCCCUUUUUCCUGACAAAGCAGUCAGUAUGAAGAGCAUAAGCAAUUAAGAAGUAAGACAUUACCACUCUAGCCGGUUUGGCUAAGUAGACAGAGCAUCGGCCUGCGGACCAAAGGGUCUCAGGUUCAUUUCCGGUCAA
This is a long non-coding RNA of Myotis brandtii (Brandt's bat), 1031 nucleotides long. RefSeq lists it as uncharacterized. Lineage: Eukaryota; Metazoa; Chordata; Mammalia; Chiroptera; Vespertilionidae. The record is from RefSeq and is a predicted model, not a curated record. The transcript has 3 exons.